Molecule: ribosomal RNA, 2932 nt
Filed under: Escherichia coli
Lineage: Bacteria; Pseudomonadati; Pseudomonadota; Gammaproteobacteria; Enterobacterales; Enterobacteriaceae
Description: 23S ribosomal RNA
Rfam family: Bacterial large subunit ribosomal RNA
Source: RNAcentral
GGGUUGUGAGGUUAAGCGACUAAGCGUACACGGUGGAUGCCCUGGCAGUCAGAGGCGAUGAAGGACGUGCUAAUCUGCGAUAAGCGUCGGUAAGGUGAUAUGAACCGUUAUAACCGGCGAUUUCCGAAUGGGGAAACCCAGUGUGUUUCGACACACUAUCAUUAACUGAAUCCAUAGGUUAAUGAGGCGAACCGGGGGAACUGAAACAUCUAAGUACCCCGAGGAAAAGAAAUCAACCGAGAUUCCCCCAGUAGCGGCGAGCGAACGGGGAGCAGCCCAGAGCCUGAAUCAGUAUGUGUGUUAGUGGAAGCGUCUGGAAAGGCGCGCGAUACAGGGUGACAGCCCCGUACACAAAAAUGCACAUAUUGUGAGCUCGAUGAGUAGGGCGGGACACGUGGUAUCCUGUCUGAAUAUGGGGGGACCAUCCUCCAAGGCUAAAUACUCCUGACUGACCGAUAGUGAACCAGUACCGUGAGGGAAAGGCGAAAAGAACCCCGGCGAGGGGAGUGAAAAAGAACCUGAAACCGUGUACGUACAAGCAGUGGGAGCACGCUUAGGCGUGUGACUGCGUACCUUUUGUAUAAUGGGUCAGCGACUUAUAUUCUGUAGCAAGGUUAACCGAAUAGGGGAGCCGAAGGGAAACCGAGUCUUAACUGGGCGUUAAGUUGCAGGGUAUAGACCCGAAACCCGGUGAUCUAGCCAUGGGCAGGUUGAAGGUUGGGUAACACUAACUGGAGGACCGAACCGACUAAUGUUGAAAAAUUAGCGGAUGACUUGUGGCUGGGGGUGAAAGGCCAAUCAAACCGGGAGAUAGCUGGUUCUCCCCGAAAGCUAUUUAGGUAGCGCCUCGUGAAUUCAUCUCCGGGGGUAGAGCACUGUUUCGGCAAGGGGGUCAUCCCGACUUACCAACCCGAUGCAAACUGCGAAUACCGGAGAAUGUUAUCACGGGAGACACACGGCGGGUGCUAACGUCCGUCGUGAAGAGGGAAACAACCCAGACCGCCAGCUAAGGUCCCAAAGUCAUGGUUAAGUGGGAAACGAUGUGGGAAGGCCCAGACAGCCAGGAUGUUGGCUUAGAAGCAGCCAUCAUUUAAAGAAAGCGUAAUAGCUCACUGGUCGAGUCGGCCUGCGCGGAAGAUGUAACGGGGCUAAACCAUGCACCGAAGCUGCGGCAGCGACGCUUAUGCGUUGUUGGGUAGGGGAGCGUUCUGUAAGCCUGUGAAGGUGUGCUGUGAGGCAUGCUGGAGGUAUCAGAAGUGCGAAUGCUGACAUAAGUAACGAUAAAGCGGGUGAAAAGCCCGCUCGCCGGAAGACCAAGGGUUCCUGUCCAACGUUAAUCGGGGCAGGGUGAGUCGACCCCUAAGGCGAGGCCGAAAGGCGUAGUCGAUGGGAAACAGGUUAAUAUUCCUGUACUUGGUGUUACUGCGAAGGGGGGACGGAGAAGGCUAUGUUGGCCGGGCGACGGUUGUCCCGGUUUAAGCGUGUAGGCUGGUUUUCCAGGCAAAUCCGGAAAAUCAAGGCUGAGGCGUGAUGACGAGGCACUACGGUGCUGAAGCAACAAAUGCCCUGCUUCCGUGAAAAGCCUCUAAGCAUCAGGUAACAUCAAAUCGUACCCCAAACCGACACAGGUGGUCAGGUAGAGAAUACCAAGGCGCUUGAGAGAACUCGGGUGAAGGAACUAGGCAAAAUGGUGCCGUAACUUCGGGAGAAGGCACGCUGAUAUGUAGGUGAGGUCCCUCGCGGAUGGAGCUGAAAUCAGUCGAAGAUACCAGCUGGCUGCAACUGUUUAUUAAAAACACAGCACUGUGCAAACACGAAAGUGGACGUAUACGGUGUGACGCCUGCCCGGUGCCGGAAGGUUAAUUGAUGGGGUUAGCGCAAGCGAAGCUCUUGAUCGAAGCCCCGGUAAACGGCGGCCGUAACUAUAACGGUCCUAAGGUAGCGAAAUUCCUUGUCGGGUAAGUUCCGACCUGCACGAAUGGCGUAAUGAUGGCCAGGCUGUCUCCACCCGAGACUCAGUGAAAUUGAACUCGCUGUGAAGAUGCAGUGUACCCGCGGCAAGACGGAAAGACCCCGUGAACCUUUACUAUAGCUUGACACUGAACAUUGAGCCUUGAUGUGUAGGAUAGGUGGGAGGCUUAGAAGUGUGGACGCCAGUCUGCAUGGAGCCGACCUUGAAAUACCACCCUUUAAUGUUUGAUGUUCUAACGUUGACCCGUAAUCCGGGUUGCGGACAGUGUCUGGUGGGUAGUUUGACUGGGGCGGUCUCCUCCUAAAGAGUAACGGAGGAGCACGAAGGUUGGCUAAUCCUGGUCGGACAUCAGGAGGUUAGUGCAAUGGCAUAAGCCAGCUUGACUGCGAGCGUGACGGCGCGAGCAGGUGCGAAAGCAGGUCAUAGUGAUCCGGUGGUUCUGAAUGGAAGGGCCAUCGCUCAACGGAUAAAAGGUACUCCGGGGAUAACAGGCUGAUACCGCCCAAGAGUUCAUAUCGACGGCGGUGUUUGGCACCUCGAUGUCGGCUCAUCACAUCCUGGGGCUGAAGUAGGUCCCAAGGGUAUGGCUGUUCGCCAUUUAAAGUGGUACGCGAGCUGGGUUUAGAACGUCGUGAGACAGUUCGGUCCCUAUCUGCCGUGGGCGCUGGAGAACUGAGGGGGGGCUGCUCCUAGUACGAGAGGACCGGAGUGGACGCAUCACUGGUGUUCGGGUUGUCAUGCCAAUGGCACUGCCCGGUAGCUAAAUGCGGAAGAGAUAAGUGCUGAAAGCAUCUAAGCACGAAACUUGCCCCGAGAUGAGUUCUCCCUGACUCCUUGAGAGUCCUGAAGGAACGUUGAAGACGACGACGUUGAUAGGCCGGGUGUGUAAGCGCAGCGAUGCGUUGAGCUAACCGGUACUAAUGAACCGUGAGGCUUAACCUUACAACGCCGAAGGUGUUU